RNAcentral lists this ribosomal RNA (328 nucleotides) under Bacillus cereus. RNAcentral describes it as "bacterial SSU rRNA". It matches the Rfam family "Bacterial small subunit ribosomal RNA", at positions 38 to 350 of the family's 1533-position model. Lineage: Bacteria; Bacillati; Bacillota; Bacilli; Caryophanales; Bacillaceae. The record is from RNAcentral.
GGCGGCGUGCCUAAUACAUGCAAGUCGAGCGAAUGGAUUAAGAGCUUGCUCUUAUGAAGUUAGCGGCGGACGGGUGAGUAACACGUGGGUAACCUGCCCAUAAGACUGGGAUAACUCCGGGAAACCGGGGCUAAUACCGGAUAACAUUUUGAACCGCAUGGUUCGAAAUUGAAAGGCGGCUUCGGCUGUCACUUAUGGAUGGACCCGCGUCGCAUUAGCUAGUUGGUGAGGUAACGGCUCACCAAGGCAACGAUGAUGCCGUAGCCGACCUGAGAGGGUGAUCGGCCACACUGGGACUGAGACACGGCCCAGACUCCUACGGGAGGCA